Molecule: ribosomal RNA, 464 nt
Filed under: Vreelandella stevensii
Lineage: Bacteria; Pseudomonadati; Pseudomonadota; Gammaproteobacteria; Oceanospirillales; Halomonadaceae
Description: partial 16S ribosomal RNA
Rfam family: Bacterial small subunit ribosomal RNA
Source: RNAcentral
CCUACGGGAGGCAGCAGUGGGGAAUAUUGGACAAUGGGCGAAAGCCUGAUCCAGCCAUGCCGCGUGUGUGAAGAAGGCCUUCGGGUUGUAAAGCACUUUCAGUGGGGAAGAAAGCCUUGGGGCUAAUACCCUCGAGGAAGGACAUCACCCACAGAAGAAGCACCGGCUAACUCCGUGCCAGCAGCCGCGGUAAUACGGAGGGUGCGAGCGUUAAUCGGAAUUACUGGGCGUAAAGCGCGCGUAGGCGGUCUGAUAAGCCGGUUGUGAAAGCCCCGGGCUCAACCUGGGAACGGCAUCCGGAACUGUCAGGCUAGAGGGCAGGAGAGGAAGGUAGAAUUCCCGGGGUAGCGGUGAAAUGCGUAGAGAUCGGGAGGAAUACCAGUGGCGAAGGCGGCCUUCUGGACUGACACUGACGCUGAGGUGCGAAAGCGUGGGUAGCAAACAGGAUUAGAUACCCAGUAGUC